Gymnodraco acuticeps is the source of this 1184-nucleotide long non-coding RNA. RefSeq lists it as uncharacterized. NCBI's taxonomy places the organism in Eukaryota, Metazoa, Chordata, Actinopteri, Perciformes, Bathydraconidae. The record is from RefSeq and is a predicted model, not a curated record. The transcript has 3 exons.
UUGUUUUCUCUACACGAACAGUGAAAUGGAGACUCACAAGGCUUGGACGCGCCUUGACAUCAUAGUAAUGAAGUCCAAUCGACGGGUGACCAAUGGAAAUGGCUAGUGAGUCAUCUGGCCUUUGUCUCUGUUGCCAUGGAAACCAUCUGUGACCUUCCACACACGCUCACCAGGGCGGACCCGCUGCACAAAAUUGGCCGGGAACAAUCCCACCUUGUCUCUGCUUUUCCCCUGAAACCAGUCGUAGGCUUCCUCCACUGCAGUCCUCGGCGGAGCAUACGCUCUUUGAGGUUUUUUUCUGUUGACUUGGCCCGUUGCCUACAUUUGCAUAGCAUUUAUAUCAUAGUAACAUAAUGGAAUUUAAAUUAGGCAACACAAUAAGCUGAAAAAUACAAAUAAAAACAAUGUUUGUAUUCCCUAAUUAGCAAUGCCAGUUCUAGAGCAAAAAGCAUCUGCAGUUGUGGAGCCCUAAUCCCCCCCCCCAUCCUCUUCAGAGACUCUGGCAGGCACAUGAGUGUGCAGAACCCCUGGGUGCUUAGUAAGCUGUUUCACUCGUGUCCAGAUGUUGGUUCAUCCACAUUUAGCAGAGGCAUGUUUACAUUAGGAGGGGGUUUAAAUGUGUUUACUGUAAGUGAAUGGCUUUGCAGUGAUUAUCACUUUCAAUAAUAUAUGAUACAACAUCUUUUUUGUAUAGUUGUACUUUUUAAAUCUGCAAUAAAAUGUAUUUGAUUGAAAUACUGUACUACAUUUUCCUGUUGUCUGAUGUAAAGAACGUACUGUCCUUCGCAGGUGAAGACCUCCAGCUGCGUCAUUAAACACCGACGGCAAUCCUCCUCUUCUCCUCUAAAUAAUGACUAGAUCUGCACACCCACGGUCCUUUAAGCACAUCAGUCAGCUCUUCAGUACUCUGAUCAGUUAUCUCUGAAUAGAGGAACUUCAACUGAUUGUUUGACCAGUUUAAUAUGUGUGUGUUACUGUAAUAUGUAUUUACAGGAAAUCUGGAGAUUUAUAACAUUCAAGUUCUAUUAAGUUCUUUGCGCAGCCUACCUUCCACCAGUCCUCGUUGGAGUCAUCUGUGACUUGAACUCUGUCGCCAGGCCUGGAGGAACAAACGCGAUCAAAAAAAGGUUCAAAGAGAAUUGUUAUAUGUAUAUAUAAAUAAAAGCAUGUAUCACUGCAAAAUA